This 446-nucleotide ribosomal RNA is filed under the name uncultured bacterium. RNAcentral describes it as "bacterial SSU rRNA". It matches the Rfam family "Bacterial small subunit ribosomal RNA", at positions 33 to 507 of the family's 1533-position model. The record is from RNAcentral.
UCAGUGGCUACAAGAACGACGCUGGCGGCAGGCCUAACACAUGCAAGUCGAGCGAGAUCUUCGGAUCUAGCGGCGGACGGGUGAGUAACGCGUGGGAAUAUACCCUUUGGUACGGAAUAGUCCUGGGAAACUGGGGGUAAUACCGUAUGUGCUCUUCGGAGGAAAGAUUUAUCGCCAAAGGAUUAGCCCGCGUUGGAUUAGGUAGUUGGUGGGGUAAUGGCCUACCAAGCCGACGAUCCAUAGCUGGUUUGAGAGGAUGAUCAGCCACACUGGGACUGAGACACGGCCCAGACUCCUACGGGAGGCAGCAGUGGGGAAUCUUAGACAAUGGGCGCAAGCCUGAUCUAGCCAUGCCGCGUGAGCGAUGAAGGCCUUAGGGUUGUAAAGCUCUUUCAGUGGGGAAGAUAAUGACUGUACCCACAGAAGAAGCCCCGGCUAACUACGUG